RNAcentral lists this ribosomal RNA (425 nucleotides) under uncultured bacterium. RNAcentral describes it as "bacterial SSU rRNA". It matches the Rfam family "Bacterial small subunit ribosomal RNA", at positions 355 to 792 of the family's 1533-position model. The record is from RNAcentral.
UGGGGAAUAUUGCACAAUGGGCGGAAGCCUGAUGCAGCGACGCCGCGUGAGGGAUGACGGCCUUCGGGUUGUAAACCUCUUUCAGCACGGAAGAAGCGAAAGUGACGGUACGUGCAGAAGAAGCGCCGGCUAACUACGUGCCAGCAGCCGCGGUAAUACGUAGGGCGCAAGCGUUGUCCGGAAUUAUUGGGCGUAAAGAGCUCGUAGGCGGUUUGUCGCGUCUGCUGUGAAAGCCCGGGGCUUAACCCCGGGUGUGCAGUGGGUACGGGCAGACUUGAGUGCAGUAGGGGAGACUGGAAUUCCUGGUGUAGCGGUGAAAUGCGCAGAUAUCAGGAGGAACACCGAUGGCGAAGGCAGGUCUCUGGGCUGUUACUGACGCUGAGGAGCGAAAGCAUGGGGAGCGAACAGGAUUAGAUACCCUGGUA